AUUAUAUACACCUUACUUACUUAGGAAACCAGGUUAUAAAAAGAGAUGCUGUUCACAGACAGUAGCUGUUACGAUCUUUCAGGGUAAGUAACAGUAAUGCUGUUAACUAGUCUAUCAAAAUGCUAGGUGAGGCUCUAAAAUGUGAGGAGGCAAUACUUUAAAGUCAUUUAUUAUCCAUAUUGCUGAUGAAGUACUGUGGAGGAUUAAAAGAAAAAAUGGUUUUGAACUUUCAGACAAUUUUGUUUGGUUGUCCUUUGCAACUGGGAAGGCCUUGUUUUAAAAUUCUGCUUUCAAAACAAAACAACACAAUGAGACUGAUGUUUGAAUGUAGUCAUCUGGCACUAAGAGCUGAAGCUAUGAAAUCUGAAUGUUGCAAGAUUAAUGAUGAAAUUCUGGCAGCACUGCGUGAGUGACAAUCCAAGUGAAAUCCAAGUUUCCCACAGUUACCUCUAUGUGCUCCCCCUGCUUUUUGAAGGAACUCACCACUUCUUUCUGCAAAACAUUUAAUUCCUCUUUCUGUACAAAACAGUUCGUGAUAUUAGGUAAUCCUGUGAAUCCCCCUGCUACCAGAGGAGGAAGGGAGGCCCUUCACUCCCAGCAGAACAGCAUCACUGUGGCUCCAGCUGCACAGGUAGCGGACUGGCUGCCAGAAGUUUCUGUGAUUCUAAGGGAACCACGUCUCUGGAUGCUUCUUCUUUGGCUUGCCCAGCUCAUGAUCGCUCAGAGAGACAAAAUUUAGAUCUUUCAGAGUGUGAAAUGAAACGUUUGUGGUGAGCAAUAUCUAUACUUCUCUUUCAUCAGUGAAUUUCCAAGACCCUUCUGCUACUAUCAUAUUGCUGCUAGUUGCCUGCACCUGUCCACAAGUUAACCUAUCUGCUUCCAGUCCUCUUUUUACAGGAUGCCACAUCACGUCCAAUUGAAAUGAUAUAAAAGGUUUUUCAUGUCAAGCAUAACACAAAAUCCCAGUUUAGACUGCUUAGAUAUGCCAUGUGUUGCAUAUGGGCAUGUGGAAAACCACGCCUCACACCCAAUGGCUGUGGGCAGACAGAGAUCAAAGGUGAAUCCAAGCCCUGAGGUCAGGAUGAGGUAGUGUCAGAAAGUGGAGAAAUCCAUGGAUGAACCUGGCCAGAGCGCACAGCACAGCCAAUGACCAGCAGAGCAAGACUACACCAGGAACUGGAGCUUUGAUCACUGAUAAGUGAAGAAAGACACGAAUGAGAAAGAGCUGCUCAUGGAACUUCAGUACAUAGCACAUUGGUGGGGAAGCUUGUCAGUGUGGAUCAUAAAUUGUUUUCAGCUGGCCAAACUCAUCAGGCCUGAUGUUGUCACGGAGCCUAGCUGGGAACAGCUGAAGGCUGAUAAUUAUCAUCUGGCUGGGAGCAGGUCAGGAUACAAUUCUUAUGCAUGUUCACAGCUCUCCUGAAAUGGACCGAAUAUAUUAGGUCAGCUCCAAGAACAUUGCAGCACUCUUUGCUUGCUGACCAAGCUGAUUCAAAAUGGUCCUAUUAGUUCUCUUCAAAACAGCAAAAUUUUGAAGCCUGUGUUAUUAUGUUGACAAUAAACUACUUUGAUUCAUCA
This 1578-nucleotide long non-coding RNA is filed under the name Anas platyrhynchos platyrhynchos (common mallard). RNAcentral describes it as "lncRNA (ENSAPLG00000021479.1)". The record is from RNAcentral. Lineage: Eukaryota; Metazoa; Chordata; Aves; Anseriformes; Anatidae.